CAGCCGCCGCGGUAAUACGUAGGUGGCAAGCGUUGUCCGGAAUUAUUGGGCGUAAAGGGCUCGCAGGCGGUUUCUUAAGUCUGAUGUGAAAGCCCCCGGCUCAACCGGGGAGGGUCAUUGGAAACUGGGAAACUUGAGUGCAGAAGAGGAGAGUGGAAUUCCACGUGUAGCGGUGAAAUGCAUAGAGAUGUGGAGGAACACCAGUGGCGAAGGCGACUCUCUGGUCUGUAACUGACGCUGAGGAGCGAAAGCGUGGGGAGCGAACAGGAUUAGAUACCCCUGUAGUCCCUGUCUCUUAUAC
RNAcentral lists this ribosomal RNA (301 nucleotides) under uncultured bacterium. RNAcentral's name for it is "partial 16S ribosomal RNA". It matches the Rfam family "Bacterial small subunit ribosomal RNA", at positions 509 to 807 of the family's 1533-position model. The record is from RNAcentral.